AACGCUAGCUACAGGCUUAACACAUGCAAGUCGAGGGGCAGCAUGAACUUAGCUUGCUAAGUUUGAUGGCGACCGGCGCACGGGUGAGUAACACGUAUCCAACCUGCCGAUGACUCGGGGAUAGCCUUUCGAAAGAAAGAUUAAUACCCGAUGGCAUAGUUCUUCCGCAUGGUAGAACUAUUAAAGAAUUUCGGUCAUCGAUGGGGAUGCGUUCCAUUAGGUUGUUGGCGGGGUAACGGCCCACCAAGCCUUCGAUGGAUAGGGGUUCUGAGAGGAAGGUCCCCCACAUUGGAACUGAGACACGGUCCAAACUCCUACGGGAGGCAGCAGUGAGGAAUAUUGGUCAAUGGACGAGAGUCUGAACCAGCCAAGUAGCGUGAAGGAUGACUGCCCUAUGGGUUGUAAACUUCUUUUAUACGGGAAUAAAGUGAGGCACGUGUGCCUUUUUGUAUGUACCGUAUGAAUAAGGAUCGGCUAACUCCGUGCCAGCAGCCGCGGUAAUACGGAGGAUCCGAGCGUUAUCCGGAUUUAUUGGGUUUAAAGGGAGCGUAGGCGGACGCUUAAGUCAGUUGUGAAAGUUUGCGGCUCAACCGUAAAAUUGCAGUUGAAACUGGCAGUCUUGAGUACAGUAGAGGUGGGCGGAAUUCGUGGUGUAGCGGUGAAAUGCUUAGAUAUCACGAAGAACUCCGAUUG
Molecule: ribosomal RNA, 693 nt
Filed under: uncultured bacterium
Lineage: Bacteria
Description: bacterial SSU rRNA
Rfam family: Bacterial small subunit ribosomal RNA
Source: RNAcentral